This 468-nucleotide ribosomal RNA is filed under the name uncultured bacterium. RNAcentral describes it as "partial 16S ribosomal RNA". It matches the Rfam family "Bacterial small subunit ribosomal RNA", at positions 28 to 507 of the family's 1533-position model. The record is from RNAcentral.
GACGAACGCUGGCGGCGGGCUUAACACAUGCAAGUCGAACGGAAAGGCCCUGCUUUUGUGGGGUGUUCGAGUGGCGAACGGGUGAGUAACACGUGAGUGACCUGCCCUUGGCUUGGGGAUAACUUCAGGAAACUGGGGCUAAUACCCGAUAGUAGCUCCGGCUGCAUGGUGGGGGGUGGAAAGUUGCGGCGGGUGGGGAUGGUCUCGCGGCUUAUCAGAUUGUUGGUGGGGUAGUGGCUUACCAAGGCGUUGACGGGUAGCCGGCCUGAGAGGGUGACCGGCCACAUUGGGACUGAGAUACGGCGCAGACUGCUACGGGAGGCAGUAGUGGGGAAUAUUGCACAAUGGGCGGAAGCCUGAUGAAGCAACGCCGCGUGUGGGAUGACGGUCUUCGGGUUGUAAACCGCUUUAGCCUGUGACGAAGCGUGAGUGACGGUAAUGGGUAAAGAAGCACCGGCUAACUACGUG